GAAGCGGUAAUAGCUCAAAUUUGAAAGCUGCCAACAGGCCGCGUUGUAAUUUGUAGAAGAUGCUUUGGGUGUUGGCCUAUUCUAAGUUCCUUGGAACAGGACGUCAUAGAGGGUGAGAAUCCCGUAUGUGAUUAGUGCCAUCCCCCGUGUAAAGCUCUUUCGACGAGUCGAGUUGUUUGGGAAUGCAGCUCAAAAUGGGUGGUAAAUUUCAUCUAAAGCUAAAUAUUGGCCAGAGACCGAUAGCGCACAAGUAGAGUGAUCGAAAGAUGAAAAGCACUUUGGAAAGAGAGUUAAACAGUACGUGAAAUUGUUGAAAGGGAAGCGCUUGCAAUCAGACUUGCAGGCGGUUGAUCAUCCGAGGUUUUCCCCGGUGCACUCGAUCGUCUUCAGGCCAGCAUCGGUUUCAGUGGUAGGAUAAAGGCUGUGAGAAUGUGACUCUUUGGAGUGUUAUAGCUCACGGUGCAAUGCUGCCUACUGGGACCGAGGACCGCGCUUCGGCUAGGAUGCUGGCGUAAUGGUUGUAAGCGACCCGUCUUGAAACACGGACCAAGGAGUCUAACAUCUAUGCGAGUGUUUGGGUGUCAAACCCAUACGCGUAAUGAAAGUGAACGGAGGUGAGAACCCUUUAGGGCGCAUCAUCGACCGAUCCUGAUGUCUUCGGAUGGAUUUGAGUAAGAGCAUAGCUGUUGGGACCCGAAAGAUGGUGAACUAUGCGUGAAUAGGGUGAAGCCAGAGGAAACUCUGGUGGAGGCUCGCAGCGGUUCUGACGUGCAAAUCGAUCGUCAAAUUUGCGUAUAGGGGCGAAAGACUAAUCGAACCAUCUAGUAGCUGGUUCCUG
RNAcentral lists this ribosomal RNA (838 nucleotides) under Mollisia minutella. Its description in RNAcentral is "partial large subunit ribosomal RNA". It matches the Rfam family "Eukaryotic large subunit ribosomal RNA", at positions 95 to 960 of the family's 3401-position model. The record is from RNAcentral. Lineage: Eukaryota; Fungi; Ascomycota; Leotiomycetes; Helotiales; Mollisiaceae.